AACGCGAAGAACCUUACCUGGGCUCGAAAUGCUGUGGACCAGCUUAUGAAAGUAGGCCUUCCCGCAAGGGACCGCAGUAUAGGUGCUGCAUGGCUGUCGUCAGCUCGUGUCGUGAGAUGUUGGGUUAAGUCCCGCAACGAGCGCAACCCUUGUCCUGUGUUGCCAUACCUUAAAAAGUGGAACUCGCAGGAGACCGCCAGGGAUAACCUGGAGGAAGGUGGGGAUGACGUCAAGUCCUCAUGGCCUUUAUGUCCAGGGCUACACACGUGCUACAAUGGACGGUACAAAGGGCUGCCAACCCGCGAGGGGGAGCCAAUCCCAAAAAACCGUUCUCAGUUCGGAUUGCAGGCUGCAACUCGCCUGCAUGAAGCUGGAAUCGCUAGUAAUGGCGGAUCAGAACGCCGCCGUGAAUACGUUCCCGGGCCUUGUA
This 430-nucleotide ribosomal RNA is filed under the name uncultured Acidobacterium sp. Its description in RNAcentral is "bacterial SSU rRNA". It matches the Rfam family "Bacterial small subunit ribosomal RNA", at positions 958 to 1385 of the family's 1533-position model. The record is from RNAcentral. Lineage: Bacteria; Pseudomonadati; Acidobacteriota; Terriglobia; Terriglobales; Acidobacteriaceae.